RNAcentral lists this ribosomal RNA (497 nucleotides) under uncultured bacterium. Its description in RNAcentral is "partial 16S ribosomal RNA". It matches the Rfam family "Bacterial small subunit ribosomal RNA", at positions 28 to 507 of the family's 1533-position model. The record is from RNAcentral.
GAUGAACGCUGGCGGCGUGCCUAAUACAUGCAAGUCGAGCGAAAAGACGAGGAGCUUGCUCCUCUGACGUUAGCGGCGGACGGGUGAGUAACACGUGGAUAACCUACCUAUAAGACUGGGAUAACUUCGGGAAACCGGAGCUAAUAACGGAUAAUAUAUUGAACCGCAUGGUUCAAUAGUGAAAGAGGGUUUUGCUGUCACUUAUAGAUGGAUCCGCGCCGCAUUAGCUAGUUGGUAAGGUAACGGCUUACCAAGGCAACGAUGCGUAGCCGACCUGAGAGGGUGAUCGGCCACACUGGAACUGAGACACGGUCCAGACUCCUACGGGAGGCAGCAGUAGGGAAUCUUCCGCAAUGGGCGAAAGCCUGACGGAGCAACGCCGCGUGAGUGAUGAAGGUCUUCGGAUCGUAAAACUCUGUUAUUAGGGAAGAACAAAUGUGUAAGUAACUAUGCACGUCUUGACGGUACCUAAUCAGAAAGCCACGGCUAACUACGUG